This 243-nucleotide long non-coding RNA is filed under the name Elaeis guineensis (African oil palm). RNAcentral's name for it is "long non-coding RNA (EGUI_LNC068214)". Lineage: Eukaryota; Viridiplantae; Streptophyta; Magnoliopsida; Arecales; Arecaceae. The record is from RNAcentral.
CAGGUAUCCAUCAGGAUUAACUUUGAAUCUUUUUUCUCGUGGUAGAUCAUUCUUCUUUAGGUAGGAUCUUUGCCUCUUUAAAUCUUGUCAGUAAUUGAUCUUGACUGUAACUUCAACCCUUGAACUGCAGUUUUUUCUCCUUGUUCCUUGCUAAAAAGAGACCCUUCUCAACUCAGGUGUGUGAAAGAUGGACGCCCAACCCUUGGGCAUGGGAAAGAGAAGAGGGAGAGAGGGUGAGGCAUG